GCGGGCUGGGCGGGUCCGCGCUGCCCCGCAGGGAGGCCUGGGUCCUUCACUACUAGGUACCGCUCAAAGCGGCAAACGCAGGCAGCGCCCAGUGCCCCCGCCCCCCCGGGUGUUCGCGCGUGGGACCCGCAGGUGGGCUAGACAUGCCUGAACACGCCCGACAGGCCUGGCGGGCGGCGGUUACCUUGGGGGCUGCCGCGGGGCCCCGGCUCCCUUGACUUAGCAACCCCUGAGCCUCCCCUCCCCGGCGAGCACGCCGGGGACUUGUAGGGGAUGGGCCCCUGCGGGCAGAAGUAAGUUCCGGGCUGCUGCUCUGCACCACCUGGAGCGUUUCCGGUCCGGUUUCUGUAUAAAGACACCCCUCUCUCAGGAGAGGAGCGUACGGAGGACCGACCACCAGACUCCGGUGUUUACGGGCAGCUCACUUCACAGUUCUCCCCAGCACAGCAGAUAAGACUGUCUAUGUUUGCAUUAAUUCAGGAACAUUUCUUUAGCAGCUAAAAAGACAGUUUACAGGCAGACACAAACUAUGUAUGGAAUGGUGUUUUACAUUUUAAAAUGCUGUGCUAUUUAUAGGAAACAUUACCCCUACUUGGCACAUGGAGUAAAACAGAAACCGGGAUAAUGGUUUCCCUCAAGGCCAUUAGAUGUGCUGGUCCUUAGACACAACUGCACAAGUCUCCAGGAACUAAACCAGCAAGAGUUAUGAACUGUCUCCAUUAAACUGUUUCUUCUUGAUGCUUUCCUAAACGGAAACACCUACCUGGCUCAUGAAUCAUGUAAUGAACCCAGCCUAGACUCUGUUGGACACCAAGUCUCCUCCACUCCUCUUCAGACAUCAGAUGGGUUUUCGGGACUUGUUUGGAAAGUUCUCUGGGUAACAUGACAUGCCUGUUAAGAGAUAGAGCCGAGUAUUAACAAAUAUACCUUUCCUACAAUUAUCAUCACUUUAUAAAUGCAUUUUUAGGAUACUUAAUACAUGAGUUCAAAAUAAUCAAAGAUCUUUAAAGCAACUCUUGUUACAUUACUGUUGGCAUCAAUCUUGAGGGCUGUCUACUACCUUUAAUUCUGAUUUUUGAUGGCCUAAUGUUAAAAACAGGAAGAAUAUACAGUCCAAAAGCAGAAAGCAUUUUGUUUAGGAUUUGCCUUUUCUUCUCUAAGAGACUGCUUGCUGUUUCAAUGUUCUUCAGGAAUAGAAUCCCCAAACCCAAGUUGGGCUCAUGGUUAUCCAAAACAUCCCAGCCUCCCAUACAGCUAUCUCUGGUGACUUAAAUCCUGGUCAAUAAGAUACAAGCAAAGAAUAUGCAACUUAUGGAAA
Long non-coding RNA from Mirounga angustirostris (Northern elephant seal), 1318 nucleotides. RefSeq lists it as uncharacterized. The transcript is spliced from 2 exons. NCBI's taxonomy places the organism in Eukaryota, Metazoa, Chordata, Mammalia, Carnivora, Phocidae. The record is from RefSeq and is a predicted model, not a curated record.